CGGGGAGUGGCGCAGUCUGGUAGCGCACCUGCUUUGGGAGCAGGGGGUCGGAGGUUCGAAUCCUCUCUCCCCGACCA
RNAcentral lists this transfer RNA (77 nucleotides) under Alphaproteobacteria bacterium. Its description in RNAcentral is "tRNA-Pro". It matches the Rfam family "tRNA". From Rfam's summary of the family: Transfer RNA (tRNA) molecules are approximately 80 nucleotides in length. Their secondary structure includes four short double-helical elements and three loops (D, anti-codon, and T loops). Further hydrogen bonds mediate the characteristic L-shaped molecular structure. tRNAs have two regions of fundamental functional importance: the anti-codon, which is responsible for specific mRNA codon recognition, and the 3' end, to which the tRNAs corresponding amino acid is attached (by aminoacyl-tRNA synthetases). tRNAs cope with the degeneracy of the genetic code in two manners: having more than one tRNA (with a specific anti-codon) for a particular amino acid; and 'wobble' base-pairing, i.e. permitting non-standard base-pairing at the 3rd anti-codon position. RNAcentral also lists the same sequence under 2 other names. Lineage: Bacteria; Pseudomonadati; Pseudomonadota; Alphaproteobacteria. The record is from RNAcentral.